Molecule: ribosomal RNA, 18 nt
Filed under: Hemicriconemoides wessoni
Lineage: Eukaryota; Metazoa; Nematoda; Chromadorea; Rhabditida; Criconematidae
Description: partial 18S ribosomal RNA
Source: RNAcentral
UCUGCUGGAUCAUUACUU